CCGCCUCCCCUGCGCUCAAUCGGCCGGGAGCGGGAGCAGCGCCGCGGCGGGGCGCGCCGGGACCCGCACCCUGCAUCCUCCCGCCCGGGCCGCGCAGCGCAGCCCCGGCUCCUGCAAAACCGAAACUUGCGAAGCGUUCGCCCUACCUGGCGUGGAAGCCUUGCAACAAGUGCAGGCGCGGGGCGUGUGUCGGCGAGCAGGGCGCAAUCGCGAUAUGAAUUUAUGACAGAGCUGCCCGGGCUCGGUCCUUACUGCACUUACAGUGCGGCGCUCAUCCUGUAAACAAAUAUCGCUCCGCCAGGAAACAUACUCCCCCCCGGCCCGGCCCGGCGCGGCGCGGCCCCGCUGCCCGCUCCCACCCCGGGGCGGCGGCACAUGGAGCGGAGCGGAGCGGGCGCCGCCGCACCCCGCACGGCGCAGGGGGAGGCUCCGGGCAGAGGCACUUACCUCGGCGCGGCCUCCCCGCGCCGCCGCGCUGCCUUUGCGGGUCCGCGGUGCGGGGAAGGGAAAGAAAAAGAAGGGUAAAAAAAAAAACCAAACCAACCCCCGGUGUCAGCAAAUCGCUGUCAAAUUAUUCCCUCGCAGGGGAGAGGGAAGGGGGGAAGCAGAAGCAGAAGGGGGAGGAGGCUGCGGGAGGCGGCGGGAUCCCUCCGCCGCGAUGGGUCUGGUAGCGAAGCAGGAAGUAAGGUGUCGGCGGCGCGGCGGCCGGGCUGAGGGCUGAGGGGCACCCGCCACCCCGUGGGCCCGCCGCCGGCCCUGCGCCUGCCGCCGCUUCCCUCCCGCUCCGCCGGCGGCUCCUCCUCUCAGCGCGGGGAGCGCAGCGCAGAAACGGCACGGUGACACUCCUCAUCGGUCCUGCCUCCCUGGAGCUCAGCAUUCGCAUUAGAUUGCACCAAAAUGUUCCCUUGCGGGGAAGGAUUUUGCAUCUUGGGAGCAGCUAUGUGAUGCAUACAGCUUACGCAGUGCUCUGUUCAAGCUCACGGGCAAUGACAAGUUAGCAUAAGAAGCCGUGUCUGGGAAGAGAGAAACCGAAACGGGUGGUUACGGGGCCUGCUUCUGCCUUCAGAGAGGGGAGAAAAAAGCCAACAGCACUCUCAAGAACAGAAAUAGGGCUUUGGUUUUAGCGUUUCUGAUUCAGCCUUGCAUUAUAAUGGUUACCAGCAGCUUCGUUUUCUUUUUAUGGUCAUCCUGGUUUCCUGGCUGCAUGGCACUUCCACCGGGCCACUGCUCUUAAUAAUUUAACCUUUUAUGAGAUUGCUUUGAUUUGCAGUGUAGAUCAGAGCAAGAGUGAACAAGUAUGAUGUCACCCACCGGCUACUAAACUCCUUUGUGCUACAGCAGAGGUCUCAGUUGCUUAAAAUAUCAAGAGAAAGAAAGGGUUUUGGUGGUGUUUUUUUCUUUUCCCAGCCAGCUAGCCAUUUUCUCAUCUUAGUUUUACUUAAGUGAAAAAUACCAUUCAGAUACUGUAACCGUGCUGAGCUGUGCAAAGGCUAUGCUGAGUCUGGGAUUCGGUGGUUGGCUUGUUUGCUUGCUGGAGUCCUAAGUCAUAGAAACGAGGUUGAAAAUAGAAUUAAAACCACAACUCAACAUGU
This is a long non-coding RNA of Pezoporus occidentalis (night parrot), 1592 nucleotides long. RefSeq lists it as uncharacterized. The transcript is spliced from 3 exons. Lineage: Eukaryota; Metazoa; Chordata; Aves; Psittaciformes; Psittacidae. The record is from RefSeq and is a predicted model, not a curated record.